GUUUCGGGGAGGAGAGCGUUCUUGUCACCGGGAGUCUUUGCGUGUCACUGGCUAAACCGGUUAGUUUUUGGACAAGGUCCCUGAAGGUGUUUAUGUCUGCCUGAACAAAGGUCGUGGGUGAUGUUAGAGGUGAAGAAGAAGAAGAAGAGGAAGUAUGAGUGUUCAUGAUGUGAUUAUGCCUUUCAAUUUUCAUUGGCAAAGGGGCAGAGGGGCUAAUUGGAUCGCUAGAAAUAUUAUAGAGGGAGAGAGAGGCCUAGAGGAUACUAAAUGGGAUGAGGUGAUUUUCAUGGUAAUUGCUUUGUUUAUAAGGGGAGAUCAGGUCUGACUAGGGGAGUCAAAUACAAGUUUUGGUAAGCUUGAGAGAGAAGAGAGAAGUUUUUGAGAGGUAAAGGAAAGGUUAGUGGGUUGUGUGAAUUGUUGAUUAAGGAACCAAUGACUAUAUUUAGAGAGUUAGUUUUUCGGGGGAUAGAACUGUAGAGGUUGUUAUCUUAUUUAUUAAUUUUGUUCUAGUUUGAGCAUAGAUUUUGUACAUUUGUAUGGACUGAUUUUUCCAUUUUAAGGAUUAUAUAGUUGAUUUUUUUUGAAAUAUUUUUCUUUUUAUGCUAUGGUAUGAGCAAGAAAUGCAAUCGAAUCGAAAGGAAAAGUUAGUGGGUUGUGUGAAUUAUUGUAGAUUAAGGAGCCAAUGACUAUAUUUAGAGAAUUCUUUUGGGGGUGCACAGGUUGUUAUCUUAUUUAUUAAUUUUGUUCUAGUUUGAGCAUGGAUUUUGUAAACUUAUAUGGAUCUAAUGUUUCUAUUUUGAGGAUUAUAUUUGAUUUUUAAAAAUAUAUUUUUCCUUUUAUGGUAUUAUAUGAGCAAAAAAUGCAAUCAUAUUUAGUUUGGUAUUGUUGUAAAUCAGAAAACUUGUUAAUAUGAUAUUUUGGUAAUAUAUAUAAGAUAAUGAAUAAAAAAAAAUUCGCUGAUUAGAGCACAAUCACCACCAACUAAUUAAAAAGGUCAAGUUUUAAGGGUUUUUUUUUUUUUAAAAAAAAGGGUUUGUAAUUUUUUACUACAUAAACACAACACUCAUAAAAUUUAUCAACUUUAAUUUGAUAUUUGCAUAGCCAAUCAAAACUAAUUUCACCUCUUGUGUUGAGUAGUUAUAGACAUGUUAGGACUAGUGGAUUUGUAAUAAUCUCACUUCCUAUUCGUAGUAGCUAAGAAGGAAAGAAUGUCUUAACUAUUAACCUAAUCUAUCAUUAGAUUAAUUGGUAAACUAGAUGAUACAAGAGUAGAUCGCUCAAACCUUUUUACAUUAAAUAAGAAAUAUAACAAGUUAUUUUUAAGAAUUUUAUUAUUUAUUUUAAGUUUAAUUGUUUUAUAUUUUAAUGGUAAAAACAUGUAUUUAUAGUCAGUUUUUCAAGAUGAAACUAAUUUUCUUCUAAAUCAUGUCAUAAACAAACUAUCCAUAUUCAGAAAAUUUACUUGUCAUUAUUAUUUUCUAGGGAAUGAUAUGGGGGUGGAUUAGAAAAAUUAAAAUAUAUGAAAAAAAUAGCUAAACUUUAUCAAUUUUUUACGUGAUUUGAUAUUAAUUUUACUUAUUAAUUUUGAAUUUUGGAUAUAUUAUAUUUAACAAAGAUAACCAAAAAUAUAAAAAGAUAUUUUUUAUGUUCAAAUCCACAAUUUAUAUCAAAUCAAAUAUUUUAGAAUUUAAAAUGUCCACGUAAACCUUUAGUUUUCAUUUGAAAAAUUGAGCUUUUUACUCAAAACAAAAUGAAAAUUUGCACACAUCUUACUCAAUUCUAAAACCCAAGCUCCAAUUCAAUUGAAAAUUUCAGUAUCCGCCAUCAGAUAACCCAUGUCCAGAUUCCUGUAAAAAUCUGAUUUUUCUCGGGGUCCAAACAAGAAGUGACCUAGCUAGAAUUAUAAGAAAAUUUAUAAUGCUCAAACUGUAACCAGUAAUUUCUUAUAAAUUCUAGUUAUUACUUAAGUCAUUAAUUAAUUAAUAUGUCAUGCCAUCAUCCCAUAUCAGCAAAUUUAAAAAAUUAUUAAGUAUAUUGAAAAAUUAAAUGGAAGCAAUCGCUUUUCUUUUCUAAAUAGCCAAAUAUAUUAAUAUAAUUAUUAUGAGUUGUAUUUUGAAGUCAUUUAUAACUUCACUGGGGCACGUUACUUUGUUUAUUUAAUAGUUAAUGCAUUAACAACAUGAAAAAGAUUUGAAGAAACUUUUUGAGUUGUGGAAAUAAUAGAGUACUAAAAAAGACUUUGAGUUUGAUUAUAAGGUUUUUUUUUCAAUGACUUUAAAGUGAUUAAUUUUUUCAUAUUAAUUUUAUUUUAGUUUAUGUAACUGAAUUAUGUAAGCAUAAAUAUUAUUUUCUAAAAUAAAAUUAAUCAUCAUGAUAACUUGAUUAUCACUAUAGAAAGAGAAAUAAAAGGUAAAAGGUAUCAUCUCUACUUAUAUUGCUAGCCUUUUACUUUUCUAAAUGAAACUAUUUUGAUAUACCUUCUUUAUAAGGAGACUAUAUCUCUAUGCAACAUGUUAGAAUAAUUAUAUUUUAGGUUUUGAAACUUGCAUAAAAAAAAUUAAAACAAAUAUCAUUUGCUACAAGUAUCAAUGUUAAUCCUUACAAAAAAAAUAAAAAAAAUAAUUCGGCUUUCCAAAAAGGUGAUUGUUUCCAUUUAAUUUUUUGCAUUAUAAUUGUUUUAAAUAAAAAUUUGGACAUAGUUUAUGAUUUUUUGGAUUUGUAGACAUAAUUGAUGAUUUCUUGAAUUUGUUACCAUGGAUUGAUGGCAUAGUUUAUUAGUUAAAAUAACUCAAGCAUAACUUAUAGAAAAGUGCUAGUUACAUAAAGAAUACUAUAAAUAAUUUUUAAAAUUAUCCCUAGUUAAUUUUUUUAAAAUCUGACCAGAUUUUACGGGUUAAACAGUAAAAUAAAAAUAAAAUUGUGCUGAUUUGAAUUUACCCGAUUAAUCCACAUAAUUUCUAAUCCAAGAUUUGUAUCGGAUCAUCUUCCGACCGAGUUUAAAAGCUAUGAAUCAUAAGCUUGAGAGAAAAAAGGAAGAUAAAAGGAAUCCGUUUGGUUUCCGCCACCUGAUAAAGAAAGAGAAACCCAAAAAAUCAUAUUCGUUUCUCUCUGGAGAAUUAAAUGAUGAAUUCUGUGUGUUCUUGUGAUGGGCCCGUUAUUGCAGCAAGUAAAUCCAUGGAUAAUAACAUGUGCUGCUCAAGAAGAGGAGUUGUAGUUGUACCUCGUGGGGAAAGCAGCAGUAGUUCAAGGAACGUUUGUGGAGUUGCUAGAGCUUCAAUGGUGGAUUCUUAUGAGAGUUCUUCUGAUCUUGUUAAGAGAAUGGAACGAGCGUGGUUAAUCUCUCAGAUAAAGUUCAAGUCUUUCUCAUUUUUCUGAACUGGGUCUCAUUUUUUUGAAUUGGGUUUUCCUUUAUAAUUAUAGAUUGGGAUUUGGGUUGGUGAAAAUUGAGUGAGAAAGGGAGAAGGUUGAGAACUUUGUGUCUUUGAGAUUAUAAUAUCUUCAAUGGGGUUUUGAUUAAUUAACAGAUUCGUCCCAUUGAAAUUCCACAGGCAUCAUCAUCAUCUCUGAACAUUUGCAAGAUAGGGAAGAAGAUUGGAAAAAGAAACCUAAAACAUGGCAAAUUUUUCUCUAUGCUUGAUAAUAUUUAACCUGAAAUUCCAAGCUUUAGACAUUCUUUAAAACCCAGAACAAGAACUGCAAGAUACAGCAGAUACGUUCAGUGCUUCCUUAAACAUUCUUUCAACACCUAAUCUUGAUUACUUUGGCUCGGUGAACUCAAUGGAAACAGAGUCAGUAGCUCCGGUGGCUCGCUCCCUCUUGGUGUGUUCAAAGGUGAAGGAUGAAAGUAAAAACCCUUUUCAGCUAUAGCCUUCUCCUCCUCUAAAACUGCUGGCGACGAUGGUGACUCGGUUCCUGGGCUCGGGAAGAACAAGAAUCCUGAACAAAGUGGAGUCACUGGUGAGUCCAGUCGGUGUGUUUGGCGGGUUGGUGAUGAUGAUGAGUUACUAAGAGAGGUCAAGCCAAGUUUGAUCUCAAGCUUUCUUAAGGUAUGUCUUCGCUCUUGGAGCUUGAAAGGUGACCGGCGAGGACCAGUUAAGUCAACGGGAUUACGUGAUGGUUUCGAUGAGGAGAGUGCUCUUGUCACCGGGAGUCUUUGUGCGUCACUGGCUAAACCGGUUAGUUUUUGGACAAGGUCCCUGAAGGUGUUUAUGUCCGCCUGAACAAAGGUCGUGGGUGAUGUUAGAGGUGAAGAAGAAGAAGAAGAGGAAGUAUUAGUGUUCAUGAUGUGAUUAUGCCUUUCAAUUUUCGUUGGCAAAGGAGCAGAGGGACUA
Molecule: long non-coding RNA, 4331 nt
Filed under: Populus trichocarpa (black cottonwood)
Lineage: Eukaryota; Viridiplantae; Streptophyta; Magnoliopsida; Malpighiales; Salicaceae
Description: long non-coding RNA (PTRI_LNC001888)
Source: RNAcentral